GAUGAACGCUGGCGGCGUGCCUAAUACAUGCAAGUAGAACGCUGAAGGAAGGAGCUUGCUCUUUCCGGAUGAGUUGCGAACGGGUGAGUAACGCGUAGGUAACCUGCCUGGUAGCGGGGGAUAACUAUUGGAAACGAUAGCUAAUACCGCAUAACAGUAGAUGUUGCAUGAUACCUACUUAAAAGGUGCAAUUGCACCACUACCAGAUGGACCUGCGUUUUAUUAGCUAGUUGGUGAGGUAACGGCUCACCAAGGCGACGAUACAUAGCCGACCUGAGAGGGUGAUCGGCCACACUGGGACUGAGACACGGCCCAGACUCCUACGGGGGGCAGCAGUAGGGAAUCUUCGGCAAUGGACGGAAGUCUGACCGAGCAACGCCGCGGGAGUGAAGAAGGUUUUCGGAUCGUAAAGCUCUGUUGUAAGAGAAGAACGAGUGUGAGAGUGGAAAGUUCACACUGUGACGGUAUCUUAUCAGAAAGGGACGGCUAACUACGUG
This 497-nucleotide ribosomal RNA is filed under the name uncultured bacterium. RNAcentral's name for it is "partial 16S ribosomal RNA". It matches the Rfam family "Bacterial small subunit ribosomal RNA", at positions 28 to 507 of the family's 1533-position model. The record is from RNAcentral.